UAAUUGAGAAUGGUUUAUUGUAUAACAAACAAUUAAAAAAAAAACGCUUAAGAUUUGAUUAAAAAAAGUGAAAUUUAAUUACCGAGAGAGAUCUCUUGCAGAAAACCAAUAGCUGGACAAGAAUCAUCUCAGGAAGAUAUUAGUUUCUGUGUAAUUAGUUUUAAAAAAAGUAUGUCAUGAAUAUCUAAAUAAAACAUGGCGUGUCGAUAGUAUCCAUAAAAUAUACGUACAUACAAUGAUAAUAUGUAUACACAAGUUGAAGACGUUAUAUUGCUAUUAUAUUUAGUUUUUAUAAUAGAGCACAUUGAUUUAUAUCAUUUAAGUGGCAAUGGUUCAAUUAUUUAUAGAAUCAAAGCUCGUACAAAACUGUUUGAAUAAUGAAAGAUCUCUUGUUCCUGUAUCUUGCGAUUUUAAGUAAAUGAACAUUAAAGAAACGUUGUAGGUUAUCUAGGUCACUUUAUUUUUAUUAACAGCUUAAUAUUGCUGAGAUUUGAUGGUCAUUACAGUACCACAAUACCUACCUGAUUACCAGGAGUUAGGUUACGAAAGCUCAGAAUCUUAAGACAUGAGGAUUCAAUUGUAUUACAUAAAAGCUGACUUAUAUAGGUACAAUUGUGAAAACCUUAACGUUGGGGAAUUCAGUUACGGAUAUACGGUACCCGGUCGAGGGGGGCUACGGACCGCAUUAUGUCGGAUUCUGGCACCUUCAGUGAGGCAGAGGUGACUAGGGGGCCAACGUCCUCCACCUUCCCUAAUUUCUCGCAGGAGACUACGCCUUGAAACAGGCGCGUGAGGCGCUGGCCCCGUAAAACCAACUACCGACUAAACUCCAUCGAGCUCCACCACACCGGUCACAUCAAACUGUUACCGCAGUGCGCGCUGGAAGUCCGCCUUCGCCGGUACCCGUCCUGAUAAUACGACGGGAUUACGUCUGCGGGAAUAUCUCGAAGGACGUCGUCAUGGGAGACGCACAGAAACCAUCUUGCACCGCCUCACCACCGGACCGACAGUCCAGUACCGGGCGCCCCCGCAUCCGACACCCGACAGCCCCUUUGGGGCCUGAGCGGGAGCUUCACGCUCGCGCCGCCCACCCCACCUUCUGCGCUGAUGUGCCAAAGAGGUAUGCCACUUCUUUUCGCUCUCCGCAGCCUCACGAAACGCCAUGACCUGGUCACAAAACCUGGCCAUGGCUCCCACUAGUUCUAGACCUCUAACAUGCGAGCGACGACAUCCCGCAGGGAUAGUUCUCUCUCCAGCAGCUUGACGAUAUCUCGCCGAGAGUGCUCCCAACGCGGGCACUCUUCGAGCGCGUGCUGAGUGUCAUCGUCCGGAUGCUCGCACUGGUGGUAACGAUGGUGGAUGGUCAUCUUUGAGAUGGGUCUUCUAAAUACCAGUUAUUAUUAUUCCUACAUUUUACUCUACCUAGAAGAGGGCUGUUCGUAUUAUCGGUGGACCAAUUCUCAUGAAUUAUCUGGAAAAUUUUAAUUCUCCCAAUUCUUUCCAAUUCUCCUCUCGUAUUUUGUACCGUAUGCUCUACGGAGAAUCCUCUCUGGAACUGUUUCAGAUGAUCCUAUCGUUUAUGAUCGCCUGACGGUGACCCUCAUCAUUAGGUGGACCCGUAUACGCUAGUCUGUAAACGAAACCUUAGCCUGACCCAUUCAGGACCAAUUGCCAACUCAAACAUACACAAAAAAAGCACAUAAAAUAAUUUUCGGUCUAGUCGAUUAAGUGGAGUUCAGUUUCAAGCACAUGUACAGAGGAAAAAUUGUUAAUAUAAGAUAAAUUAUUUGGGAUACUAACUUGAUUCAUAUAACAGUAUAACUAGAUAUGAUUGAAUCGUUGUAGAAACAGUCUGACGAUUUUAAUAAGUGAACAAUGUACAGGUAUAGUAUUACAACUCGAACUAAAUCAACUACGGACGAAAAAUAUCCAGGUGUUUUUACGUUUGAAAUAAUUGAUACAACCAUAUCAAGUCCACCCAUUGCUACUACUUAUCUUCGACGGUGCAAUCAAUGUCCUUGUUUUUUCAUACAAAUUUGUAGAAUGUGGCCUCCAAUUUUGUUUUAUAAUUUAUAUUUUAUGCCUCUCUCUUGGAGCACUUUAUGAAACCAAUUAAAAAUCAAUUUCGAUUUAGUUGAGACUUUAUAAUACUUCUAUUUGUAAUUAUGUGUAACAGGUCCUUAAUAUAAUUUAAGGCAAGAUAUAGAUCUCGGCAAUAAUUACUUAAUUUCUUAAGCUGGUCCAAUGUCAUUUUGUGAGUCAUUAACUAACCGCAAUAAAUGACAUAUGACUCCUUCACCUCCUUGACCUCAUUUCAUGAUGGGAAUGCAUCAAAAAUAGAAAUAGACGAUUCCCGAUCACAUUCCUUUUUACGAAAUAAGGAUAUGCCAGAAGUCACAACUACAAACAAAUAACAGAAUUAAGGUUCCUAUUAUUUGUUGAAUGAUUUUUUUUUUUGAAAAGAAACCUUCAUAGUGUCGCUUUACUUAAUCAAAUAAACGACGAGAAACGUAGUAAUGAACUUGAAACAAAUACAAAGGUUGAUCAUACUAUGAUAAAUUAUGUCAACAAUGAUUUGGGAAAACAGUUUUAAGGUGCAGUUUAAUUGUGUUUGAAUUAUUUAAGCCAAUAAGUCGGACAAAAAGUAAAACUGAAGGUGUUUUCUGGUAUGUGGACUUUGGAGGUUUCCGCAAGCCCGAAACCUUCUACAGUUAAUAAGCAACCAACCACAAAACAUUUAAGAUUUUAUCUAUAAGGUAUCAUGACUAAAUUGAAACAAUCGUUAGUUACAUUAUUAUACACAAACACAACAAUCUCUAGUUAGUGAAAUCACUGAAUGCUGACAGUGGCUUUGGGGGUCUGGGGUGGCCGGAAUAAAAUUUCCACCAACCUAAGUCAUCGAUCUACGGAAACCAGCCUCCACUUAGGUACGAGCCUCAGCAAUCCAUUGACGAAUGUCAGCACCCACCAUGUGAUAAAAGACCGAAGUCGUGUUGUUGAUUUUGAUUUAUCAUUUUUUUUUUUUCGACAGCGUUCUGAACCUGAUUCACAAGGUUUCCGCACCGGGUGUAUGUAGGUCUUGUCGGUUCGCAGAUGUUGGGGGCGAGCCGAAGGAUGUUUUUAGGGUCCUAUCUUAGGGCUCUGCCUCUUCCGUUUCGCUGCCUCCUUAUGCGAGAUGGUGGACUCCACAGUAGACUCGCAGAUAUUGGGCAUCGCCUGACAGGACUCCUCACUGCCGAGCAGUAUGUACGAUGGAGAAAUUCUCCGGAUCCCCACCCGCGCGGCAGGUGGGGCAUGUGGGAAUUGAACCUCACUAAAAACUUCUGCCGCUCACAGCUGGCGCCCUACCUCAGACCGGACCGGAGCCCAAUCGGGGCUAUUGAGACUGCUGGACAGGGUUGACGCAAAGCAUAUUACAUCCAACCGGCCGUGUCACAGACGCCGGACCGGCGGCCGACCACGACGCGACCACCAUUUCCCUCGGCCGGAGUACUUACGGACAUGGCCAAUUUUCUAUAUUGUUACGUGAGGCGCUUUGACGGUUAUUUUUAUUAUCUGAUAAAAGACUAAACUUUACAAGAUCCAUAACAAAAAUAACGUAAUAGGAAAGCAUUUGCUCUCAAUCCUGGCUUAUACACCUAAAAAUCGUUUAUUUUAUUGAUUGAAAUAAACAUGAAAUAAACAUGUCUACCUACGUAAUUCAUUAAACCAAUUGUUUUUAAUAAACACAUUGUUUUUAAAAAAUGUUGUUUUUUGAAAAGUAGGUAUACCAAAUUGGCUGGUUUCUAGCGACAGUAAAUUACAUUAAGAUUGCUCAAAAUGAUUAAUUAUUUGUGGAUAAUAAGAAAUCUUGCUUUAAGCAAUUCUACUAAUGCUAUUGGCAGAAUCCGUAACUUUAGUUAAUGAAGGACAACUAACGAGAUUAAAAAGUUUUGAUUUUUUUUGGAAUUGAUCGAUUGUAAAACAUUGCGUUUCAGUAAGAAGACUUUUCAUCUGAGUAGUAAAUAAACAUAACAUAGAUAAACUUAUCGACGAAAGAGGAAUCGUCUCAAUUUUAUUAAGUGAAUCUCAGAAUCCAAUCUAUAAUUUUAAUAAUGAUGACUUUUUCUAAAAUGCUUCCUAAUUUCUCUAGCUAAAGCUGGAUCUUUAGCUGGAUAAAGCUCUAGUACUCUCCGAUCUAUUCAAUACUGUUAAUUCAGCGUAGACGAUAUGACAUGGUCUCGUCUCGUGUGCUCGUCUGCCUACAAGGACAAAAAAAAAAGAAGUAUGACUAGCGGUGGCUGCGAUAAAAGGGUUGUUUUGGAGCUUCGUUGUCUCAAAGUACCGUUCCGAUGCCAACUUUGUCUUUGUUGACGGAUUCGAGACCCAAAUCAUUUUUGUGGUAUGAUUAUAGUCAUAAAUCGGAUACUAAUCAGGUGCGUGUUUUAUUUUUCUAUGCGACAGUAACAAUACAAAACCGUAAUUACAAGAAUUAUAAUAGGUUUGUCAAAUAUCUUUAGUUCUUCACGUGAAAUGUGCAAUUUAGUUAAGAUAUACAUGUGCAAACACGCAAACACUGAUUAGAUACGAAAAAAGGUUAAACAUUUAUUCUGGUAAGAUAGCCGGAUCCAAUAAUACUGAUUUAAAUAUUUCGACCUUAAGAUCGAAAGUCGUUAAAUUUUGAUAAAAACAACGAUAUAUGUAGUUAAGACUUAUUUUAUCUUAAGCCAAAUACCUACUAAUACUAGCUCUUUCUGUGUGAAAAUGAACGUAAAUGAGUAGAUUUCGCCGAUUCUUCUCAGGAUUCUUUUGUUAAUCGGUAGUGUUUAAUUUGACAUACAACAAAUAUGUUACACGAGAUUCAAUUUAAAUAAAAAAAAACUGAGAUUGACUUGAAUGCAUUUUUGCACAAGGAAGAUUUCCUGUUGAGCGUCGACGGUCCGAUUUUAUCGUUGCUAGUACUAUAUACAUACAUUACUAAACUAUGAACAUCAUAGACGUCCACUGCUGGAUAUAGACUUCCCGUUUUUUUAUGUUUAUAGUAUUACUGGUGGCCCGGAGACCUUUCCAGUUUCACCAGGACAGUGGGGGAAAAAGCCCAGCCAGGGUGGGGUUUGUUAACAGCUGCCCGAGCGCCUCCGAAGAAGACCUAACAACUCAAGAGCAGCUGUUUCGCGAAUGAAUCUACUACCGGAUCGGAAUCGCGACCUGCUGAGAAGACCCGGCGAGAAACUCAGCGGGCUGAUGCAUGGGUUAAGUUGCACGUCGAACUCUUUGCCGAGUUCGAUGAGUACGGUUACCGGGAUUCCUAAGCCUGCUCCUAGUGUUAGAGCUGAAGGUGUCUAAUGCAAGAGUUAUUGGAUCUGAUGGAUCCGUAAACAAAUCGUCCGUCCACCUUGUGGGAGAUUUGCCACUCGUGAGACCACCCACUAAAGUAGCGAAGCGUGGCAAACAAUUUUAAUCUUUAUGUACUAAGGUACAAGUUUUAUUAAAUGUCAUGUGAUUUUACGCCCGCAUGGUCAACGUGUGUAAAUAACGUUAUCCGUCACGAGUCUUAUGACCGAAGAAGGAAGAAAGAAUGAAGUAUAUGAAGUGACUCGUGAAUUUGUUCAUCCUGUGAUUAGUUGUAGAGUUGUCGAAUCGACUAUAAAAGCGUUGGAAACAUGACAUGAAGGCAGUUAAUAAUCGGAUCUACCAAAAGCGAAACAGCGAACGGAUCACCUGAAGCGAAGCAGAAGUUAAUUACGAAUUGUAAAGUGUUUUGUAAGCGUUCUAAGUGUUAAAUAGAGUUUUAAUUUGUA
Long non-coding RNA from Bombyx mori (domestic silkworm), 5780 nucleotides. RefSeq lists it as uncharacterized. Lineage: Eukaryota; Metazoa; Arthropoda; Insecta; Lepidoptera; Bombycidae. The transcript is spliced from 4 exons. The record is from RefSeq and is a predicted model, not a curated record.